This 120-nucleotide transfer RNA is filed under the name Chitinophagaceae bacterium. RNAcentral's name for it is "tRNA-Asp". Lineage: Bacteria; Pseudomonadati; Bacteroidota; Chitinophagia; Chitinophagales; Chitinophagaceae. The record is from RNAcentral. RNAcentral also lists the same sequence under 2 other names.
UGUGGGAUGAUGAAAUUUUCGGCAGACAUGCCCCCUUGUCUCGGGGGUGGGGAUUACAGGACAAAGAAGUGAAAACUUGCUAACUGCCCCGUGGAGGUUCGACUCCUCCUCCUACAGCCA